UACGUAGGGUGCGAGCGUUAAUCGGAAUUACUGGGCGUAAAGCGUGCGCAGGCGGCGCGUUAAGACAGGUGUGAAAGCCCCGAGCUUAACUUGGGAAUUGCGCUUGUGACUGGCGUGCUGGAGUGCGGCAGAGGGAGGUGGAAUUCCACGUGUAGCAGUGAAAUGCGUAGAUAUGCGGAGGAACACCGAUGGCGAAGGCAAUCCCCUGGACCUGUACUGACGCUCAUGCACGAAAGCGUGGGGAGCAAACAGG
RNAcentral lists this ribosomal RNA (253 nucleotides) under uncultured bacterium. RNAcentral's name for it is "partial 16S ribosomal RNA". It matches the Rfam family "Bacterial small subunit ribosomal RNA", at positions 524 to 776 of the family's 1533-position model. The record is from RNAcentral.